AAUGAUUUUAAAGUUUAGAAAAAUAUAUGGAACCACUUAUUGAAAAUGGAUGUGAAUACUAGUACGUCAAAAAUAAUGACAUCAUCAUUGCAUGCAAGUGAAAAUUUUAAAGAAUAAUAACCGUAUACUUUGAAUAAUUAUGUGUUUGUUUUAAUACAUUUAGGCCAAUAUAGAUGAAAUAUCAAAACUUUCAGAGACCCAUACAUUAUUAAAACGUUUAGUUUGUUUACAGGCUCCAGUAACUGGUCAGUAUAUGGUCAGUCAACUUUUUGCACUCAUUUUCCACAAUCGCAAAUUGAUGACUCACAACCGGUGUUGAAAAUGAAGGGAGCAAAAUCAGUAUAGAACUUAAAUAUAUUUGUUGGAGAUAAUAUGAUUCAAUACUUGGAAAUGGUUCAGUGUUAUAUUGAUAGAAAUACAAGUGGCACGGCAAUCCUAGUCAGAGCUCUGGACAGAUUUUAUAAAAGGUUUAUGUAAUUGGAAAAUUGAUUUCCUACCAAGAUUUUACAUUGUAUAAAAAACCAGCCAACGGCGCCGUAUGAAUAUCAGGCAGCCCAGCAGCCCACGCCGUACCAGCCAUCACCCGCCAUAUACCAAUUUCAACCAAUGUACAACCCACCAGGCAUGUACAACAUACUCCCUAUGUGUAACCCGCUGUCUAUGGAAAACUCACCAGCCUCGUACCACCCACCCACCAAGUCGUACUAUCCAUCUGCCACCACGUAUAACACACUAACCAUAUCCCGGCGAAAUUCCAGCAGCCCAGAAAAGUACCAAGUAACCAAUACUAAAAAAUAAAAAUCAAUAGGCAAGGGGAGCCACUCGAAAUUCGGCCACCAAGGAUCCGAAAAAGAAAUCCAUUUAUGACACCGAGUUAUAAACCAAAAACGAUAAGGGAAGCCCAAAAGUAAUUUAUUUAAUAAUAAAAACUCGACUUUUUAUUUAUAUGAAACCUAGUUUCAAAGAAAAUAGGAACAACAUUUUAGUUUCGUAUCUUACUUGCAAGUGUACCUACGUCCUACACUUAUACAUUCAUUAUUAUUUCAAUGUAAAAGUUCUUAUGGCUUCUGAAACACACAUCUAAAAUGUAAAUACUUAUUAAUUAUGUAUUAUAUUAAAUGGAUACAGCAAACGGUACAGUUGGGAAGUCCAGGUACAAUGGUCGCUUAACCAAGGCAACACCUUGGAAGAAAUUAAUACAUCAUUACUAAAUAUGCCGAAAGACUAUGCUCUAGGACAUUGUGUGGCCAAAUAUAUAUGUGAGCAUUUACAACAGAGUUGGCGACCUCAUGGACCAAAGACAAAAUGUUGGCAGCGUAGCAUAUUUGCAAGAAAACGAUCAAUUUAUUUGCUAUUUAAUUACCAAGGAGCUUAGCAAACAAUAACCUACAUAUAAUAGUAUAACUGCGGCUAUUACAAAAUUAUGUGAUCUUAUUGUAGAACAUGGUGUAAAAAAACUAGCUAACACGCGUAUUGGUUGUGGUCUAGACAAAUUAGAUUGGGGGUAAUAGUUAGAGGUAUUAUCGAGGAUUUGUUUCAGAACGUCGGAUGUUCGAUCAAAAAUCUAUCAUUAGAGUUACAAAUGCUUCGAAUCAACAUCCAUCUGUUGUAAGACGUUAUGAAAAUAUUAAAGACAUAGGGAGGCGAUAAUUUGAAAAAUUAAACAUUUUAUUAUAUUCUCGGAAAACUACCACACUACCAGUAUAUUGGGAUGAACAUUUUCAGGCGGUUGAUGAUAAAUACUGCUUCAAAUCACGAUACAAUAAAGACUGUCAGGUGGAUCAUGAAGUUUGUAUUUGUUAUCAUUAUACAAACAAAAAAUCAACAGACCAUUUUUCAUAUCAAAAAUUUGUUAAAAAGGACUUAUAAAAAUUUAAAUGAUAUUAAAGCCGAUUUUUAUGUUUCGGUCGCGACUAGAAAUGAAAUGAAAACCGUUUUUAUAGCUCUCAUGAUCUAUACAAGCAAUAGUAGUCCCAUUGGCUUUCUGUGUAUUAUACUAUCUGAAAUUCUGCACCUAUAGUAACAGGUUGCACUGUUGUAGGUACCUACUAAAAUAGUAAAAUCCUAGGUACACCAUUGACAAUAGGUAGUACAAAAUACUAGAUUAUAGUUUUAGUUUAUACACUGUCCUAAAGUAGUCAGUAGAGAAUCAUUAUCACUUAUUAGUUGUAUAUAAAUAUUAGGUAGUACCUAAUAUUAUUUUAAACCUAGUUGCAAAAGUAUUAAAAUGUAGGUUUAUAUAUGUAGACUAUUUAAUUCAUGUUUUUAUUAGUAUAUCUAUUUAAUUGUAGUAGUAAAGCUAUUGAAAUUGUUUCUAAUAAUUUGUCCGAAAUUACAAUUCAUGAAAUUUUAGUAAUUGUU
Molecule: long non-coding RNA, 2361 nt
Organism: Myzus persicae (green peach aphid)
Lineage: Eukaryota; Metazoa; Arthropoda; Insecta; Hemiptera; Aphididae
Exons: 9
Source: RefSeq, a predicted model, not a curated record